GUUACAUAGUUACAUAGUUACAUAGUUACAUAGCUGAAAAGAGACUUGCGUCCAUCAAGUUCAGCCUUCCUCAGAAAUGUUGUUGCUGUUGAUCCAAAAGAAGGCAAAAAACCUGGUCUGAAGCACUUCCAAUUUUGCCACAAACUAGAAAAAAAUUCCUUCUUGACCCCAAAAUAGCAGUCAGAUGUCUCCUUGGAUCAAUCAGCUAUUACCC
Molecule: non-coding RNA, 214 nt
Organism: Pelobates cultripes (western spadefoot toad)
Lineage: Eukaryota; Metazoa; Chordata; Amphibia; Anura; Pelobatidae
Source: the annotation of a GenBank genome assembly